Molecule: unclassified non-coding RNA, 2482 nt
Filed under: Hevea brasiliensis (rubber tree)
Lineage: Eukaryota; Viridiplantae; Streptophyta; Magnoliopsida; Malpighiales; Euphorbiaceae
Source: RNAcentral
GGCUUUUGAAGUGUUGGAAAUGAAACGGUGCAUUUUUUCUGAAAGAGGUGUAGCAUAACAGCGAAUGCAAAAGGCUGUCUUGAAAUUAACCCUAGAAAGGUAAUCUAACCCUGAUCUGAGGUAAAAUCAUUUAGGCAGGAAAUUCCUGAAAUUACACCAUCUUCUUGCAAUCCCCUCCGUCUCUAUUCACUAUCCUUAUUCAUUCUCCGCAUCCUUCACUUUCCUCUCUAGAAAGUAGAAAGGGCUGAUGGUCGCCAGAGAAUUCGGGUGGCGGCGAACAAGACUGCCGUGGACGAAAAGGUGCUGGAGAAAGAUUGUAUCGGUGAAGACUCUGUGAUCGUUGUUGAUGGUUCGUCUUUGGAAUUAGAAAUCGCGAAGAUUCGUGGAAGAUGGGAACUGGCAUCUGUUCUCAAUUUCUUGACCGUAAAAGUUCUGUUUUUGAUGCUCAAAUUGUGCUGUGUUAGAUAGCAUUUUGUAUUCUUUUAGACUAUUGGUUCUUAAUUCUUGGAGUGCGUUUUAUUGUUGAUUUUGUGCAUACAUGUUGAGAAAGGGAUUUUGGUUCCUAAAUUAAUUGUUAUUUGCCUUUCUAAACACCGAAACGUGCAGAGUUCUUGCAGGUUUAUGUGUGGUUUGGAAGUUGCAGAUUUUGCACUUGUUUUAUUCAUGAACUUGCAUACAUUGAUAGUGUUUACUCGUGUGGGAUUGAUUUGCAGCUCUUUGAGCCACUUAUGGGUAGUGAUUUGAAGUUAACGGCAGAGGAGAUCGAGAUUGGUCUUGUUACGCCCAACAGGUCGCUUACUCAACUUCACAUUAAGCUAUUGAAGGUUUCUGAUUCUUAUCAUUAUGAAUGGGGUGAUACUGUGUCUGGUUAUGUGCCUAGAUAUGUUUAUAAUCAUAUUGAUUGUUUUACAACCAUCUUAUAAACAUAAAUACUUUUGUAAAAUGAAUGAUCUGCUUGGUACUUCUGUUGUUUCGUUUUAAACUCUGGUAUAAUCUAUGCUUUCUGUCCACAGCAAAGUGAUGCUGUAUCAUAUAUUAAUGACUCUUUGAAAAAAGGAACUGAAAUGUCCUGUUUCCGCAAAGAUAAGAUUGGGGGAGAUGGAAAUGCAACCUCUUACUGGUAAUUCUCUAGAUGCUCUGUAUUUUAUGUGAUUUACUGCAUCAUUGUUUCACAUCAAUUGUGUGCAUAGGUGUGAUGGAAGUGCAGUUGUUGGCCAUAGAUUGUAUAAGGAAGUAAAGAAGAUUGAGACAAAGUCAAAAAAGAAGGGGAAAACAUCUAAUAAUCUACUGGCUAUCUCCCUUCAGUGGGAAACCAUAGCAACCAAUCUUAAGGAAUUUCGGGAAGUUGUGGUAAGUUAAAUAUUUUCUUUGUUUAACAACUGAGAAUUUUAAUUUACCUUGUUUCUUGCUGGUGAUGGCAGGAUAAACUUUCAUCUAGCAAGAUUGUGGGAUAAAUUGCUGUUGGCAAAACUAUUGAAACCAAAUUUCUCCCUGUUGUUGAGAAAUUUCAGAAUGUAUGCUUAUGGUUUCUUUUAUGAUUGUGUGAAUAUUUUUAGAUGCUAAUUACCUUUUGCUUUUAGUUUUCUAUUUACUCUGGUACCUAGUUUGUUCAUUUCAUUGCAUCUAAAUAUCUAAUAGAAGAAAGAAAGGGCACUCAAAAAAAGAGAGGUAAGAAAGGCUCCUGAAUGAUUUUAGAUCCUAUGAGACUGGGAUUACUCGUUCCGGCCGCAGUCGAAGGCCUGUUAGUUACAUAUUUGAUGAGUAUGAUCUUGUGAUUGAUGAGGCUUUAGAAAUAACAAAGAAAAGGAAGACAGAGCAAAGGAACGAGAAGAAGCAUAUUAAGCAGGAAAAAUUUCUGUCUGAUGGCGAUUCAGACACAGGUGCAGACUUGAAAGACAGUCAUAUGGAAAAUAGUGAUUCAGACAUGGGGACAGACUUAAAAGAUGAAAGUAUUGAAAAUGGUGAAUCCUCGGACAGUGAAUCUUAAAUUCAACAAAAUAAUACUGAUGAUGACGAUGGUGAUGAUGAUUAUGACGGCAAAAGCAGUAAUAAUGAUAAUGGCAAUGAAUCUGGCAAUUCUGGUGAGGAAAAGGACAUACUUUGUGACAGGAACUGUUCAGAAGCGUAUAGGUCACAAUGUAGUAAAAGGCUGGCUGGAGUUAUGAACCAUCCUGUUAUGGAAACGAGCAACUUGGCUACAAAGAAUAGGUUGAGGCAGAGACCCACUCGUAACUCUACACUUGAUUCUAUUGUUCCAGAUUCAGAGGAUGAAAAAUUGUCAGAAAACACAAAAGGUGAGACGUCUGAAGGCGAAGUUUUAUCACCUGAAGCUAAUUCAUAAGAGUCCAUUGAUGGUUAGUAACUUAUAAACUGAAGGAAAUUUUGGUGCACAUUUGAAAAUGUUGUGGAAAUAUAUUAUUCUAGUAGUCCAGACUGUAGUUGUGUUUUUGCUAUUUUUUUUGUCUUCUCUCUUUUCCUUUUC